This 253-nucleotide ribosomal RNA is filed under the name uncultured bacterium. RNAcentral's name for it is "partial 16S ribosomal RNA". It matches the Rfam family "Bacterial small subunit ribosomal RNA", at positions 524 to 776 of the family's 1533-position model. The record is from RNAcentral.
UACGGAGGGUGCAAGCGUUAUCCGGAUUUACUGGGUUUAAAGGGUGCGUAGGUGGAUUAGUAAGUCAGUGGUGAAAUCUCCGGGCUUAACCCGGAAACUGCCAUUGAUACUAUUAGUCUUGAAUAUCCUGGAGGUGAGCGGAAUAUGUCAUGUAGCGGUGAAAUGCUUAGAUAUGACAUAGAACACCAAUUGCGAAGGCAGCUCACUACGGGAUUAUUGACACUGAGGCACGAAAGCGUGGGGAUCAAACAGG